This is a long non-coding RNA of Rhincodon typus (whale shark), 654 nucleotides long. RefSeq lists it as uncharacterized. The transcript has 2 exons. NCBI's taxonomy places the organism in Eukaryota, Metazoa, Chordata, Chondrichthyes, Orectolobiformes, Rhincodontidae. The record is from RefSeq and is a predicted model, not a curated record.
UCUUGCUCCAGCUGAAACUGUCAUAUUUCAAUUUGAUUUUUUUUUCAAUCAAAAGUGAAGAGGAAAUUGUGGUAACGGUACGAUUCUAACAGAGAAAGGAGUAAAUUUUUACACGAAGAAAGACAUGCAGCCAAAAAAAGAUGAGUGGAAAUUCUGAGCAAUGUAUUUCAGCGACUGUUUGGAAGGCCUGCAUAAAUUAUCCUCAGUUUCAUGGACACCCUGCGCUGUUACACCUGAUAAGUGUUAAGGAAGUUUCAACAAAAAUAACUUCAAAAGGGAGAAAUGCAUUGCAAAUGGAUCUGUAAUCUCUUGUGAGUUAUCUCAGACUGAGAACAUGAUGGGAGCAAAGAACAUUCUGGGCAAGAGAUAUGUGUGUGUUUGUCACUUUCAAGAAUACAUAAGAACAGUCAUUAAAAGAUGUUGUCUGUUGAUCACAGCUGAGAAAAUCCCUAGUCAUCCCUGUACUGAAGGUGAAGAAAAAGGUAGUCUUUAUUUUUGCUGAAGCCAAAAAGGACCAAAGUCAACAGGCCUGCAAAGCCGAAUAUUUUGAAACUAACUCCUUACGUAUCAAUAUCAAAGCUACCAGUAUCACCAAAUGUAAUGGCCUCAAAAUCCCAUCAGUGACUAAUAAAUUCACUCUCUUGCUAACUCAAA